RNAcentral lists this ribosomal RNA (735 nucleotides) under Salmonella enterica. Its description in RNAcentral is "partial 23S ribosomal RNA". It matches the Rfam family "Bacterial large subunit ribosomal RNA", at positions 2208 to 2925 of the family's 2925-position model. RNAcentral also lists the same sequence under 2 other names. The record is from RNAcentral. Lineage: Bacteria; Pseudomonadati; Pseudomonadota; Gammaproteobacteria; Enterobacterales; Enterobacteriaceae.
UAAUGUUUGAUGUUCUAACGUGGACCCGUAAUCCGGGUUGCGGACAGUGUCUGGUGGGUAGUUUGACUGGGGCGGUCUCCUCCUAAAGAGUAACGGAGGAGCACGAAGGUUGGCUAAUCCUGGUCGGACAUCAGGAGGUUAGUGCAAUGGCAUAAGCCAGCUUGACUGCGAGCGUGACGGCGCGAGCAGGUGCGAAAGCAGGUCAUAGUGAUCCGGUGGUUCUGAAUGGAAGGGCCAUCGCUCAACGGAUAAAAGGUACUCCGGGGAUAACAGGCUGAUACCGCCCAAGAGUUCAUAUCGACGGCGGUGUUUGGCACCUCGAUGUCGGCUCAUCACAUCCUGGGGCUGAAGUAGGUCCCAAGGGUAUGGCUGUUCGCCAUUUAAAGUGGUACGCGAGCUGGGUUUAGAACGUCGUGAGACAGUUCGGUCCCUAUCUGCCGUGGGCGCUGGAGAACUGAGGGGGGCUGCUCCUAGUACGAGAGGACCGGAGUGGACGCAUCACUGGUGUUCGGGUUGUCAUGCCAAUGGCACUGCCCGGUAGCUAAAUGCGGAAGAGAUAAGUGCUGAAAGCAUCUAAGCACGAAACUUGCCCCGAGAUGAGUUCUCCCUGAGACUUAGAGUCUCCUGAAGGAACGUUGAAGACGACGACGUUGAUAGGCCGGGUGUGUAAGCGCAGCGAUGCGUUGAGCUAACCGGUACUAAUGAACCGUGAGGCUUAACCUUACAACGCCGAAG